This 440-nucleotide ribosomal RNA is filed under the name uncultured bacterium. RNAcentral's name for it is "partial 16S ribosomal RNA". It matches the Rfam family "Bacterial small subunit ribosomal RNA", at positions 338 to 795 of the family's 1533-position model. The record is from RNAcentral.
CCUACGGGAGGCAGCAGUGGGGAAUAUUGCACAAUGGGGGAAACGCUGAUGCAGCGACGCCGCGUGAGUGAAGAAGUAUUUCGGUAUGGAAAGCUCUAUCAGCAGGGAAGAAAAUGACGGUACCUGAUUAAGAAGCCCCGGCUAACUACGUGCCAGCAGCCGCGGUAAUACGGAGGGGGCAAGCGUUAUCCGGAUUUACUGGGUGUAAAGGGAGCGUAGACGGCAGCACCAGUCUGGAGGGAAAGGCCGGGGCUUAACCCCGGAACUGCUUUGGAAACUGUGCAGCUAGAGUGCAGGAGAGGUAAGUGGAAUUCCUAGUGUAGCGGUGAAAUGCGUAGAUAUUAGGAGGAACACCAGUGGCGAAGGCGGCUUACGGGACUGUAACUGACGUUGAGGCUCGAAAGCGUGGGGAGCAAACAGGAUUAGAUACCCUUGUAGUC